UCGAGGAUCUUCGGCAAUGGGCGCAAGCCUGACCGAGCGAUGCCGCGUGUGCGAUGAAGGCCUUCGGGUUGUAAAGCACUGUCGAGGGGGAGAAAGCCGCAAGGUUGAUCGACCCCUGGAGGAAGCACGGGCUAAGUUCGUGCCAGCAGCCGCGGUAAGACGAACCGUGCAAACGUUGUUCGGAUUCACUGGGCUUAAAGGGCGCGUAGGCGGGCCAUCAAGUCAGGGGUGAAAGCCCACGGCUCAACCGUGGAAGUGCCUUUGAUACGGAUGGCCUCGAGGGAGGUAGGGGCGUGCGGAACUUCCGGUGGAGCGGUGAAAUGCGUAGAUAUCGGAAGGAACGCCGGUGGCGAAAGCGGCGCGCUGGACCUCUUCUGACGCUGAGGCGCGAAAGCCAGGGGAGCAAACGGGAUUAGAUACCCCCGUAGUCC
RNAcentral lists this ribosomal RNA (431 nucleotides) under uncultured bacterium. RNAcentral describes it as "bacterial SSU rRNA". It matches the Rfam family "Bacterial small subunit ribosomal RNA", at positions 355 to 796 of the family's 1533-position model. The record is from RNAcentral.